This 342-nucleotide ribosomal RNA is filed under the name uncultured bacterium. RNAcentral describes it as "bacterial SSU rRNA". It matches the Rfam family "Bacterial small subunit ribosomal RNA", at positions 28 to 362 of the family's 1533-position model. The record is from RNAcentral.
GACGAACGCUGGCGGCGUGCUUAACACAUGCAAGUCGAACGAAAGGACGGGAAGAGCUUGCUCUUUCCGGAAUUGAGUGGCAAACGGGUGAGUAACACGUAAACAACCUGCCUUCAGGAUGGGGACAACAGACGGAAACGACUGCUAAUACCGAAUAAGUUCCAAGAGCCGCAUGGCGAAGGGGUCAAAGAAAUUCGCUUUGGGAGGGGUUCGCGUCCCAUUAGCUAGUUGGUGAGGUAACGGCCCACCAAGGCGACGAUCGGUAGCCGGACUGAGAGGUUGAACGGCCACAUUGGGACUGAGACACGGCCCAGACUCCUACGGGAGGCAGCAGUGGGGAAU